RNAcentral lists this transfer RNA (73 nucleotides) under Bacteroidales bacterium. Its description in RNAcentral is "tRNA-Gln". It matches the Rfam family "tRNA". From Rfam's summary of the family: Transfer RNA (tRNA) molecules are approximately 80 nucleotides in length. Their secondary structure includes four short double-helical elements and three loops (D, anti-codon, and T loops). The record is from RNAcentral. Lineage: Bacteria; Pseudomonadati; Bacteroidota; Bacteroidia; Bacteroidales.
UCAGGGUGUAGUUUAACUGGUAGAACGUUGGUCUUUGGAUCCAAAAACAGAGGUUCGAGUCCUUUCACCCGAA